Ailuropoda melanoleuca (giant panda) is the source of this 1789-nucleotide long non-coding RNA. RefSeq lists it as uncharacterized. The record is from RefSeq and is a predicted model, not a curated record. Lineage: Eukaryota; Metazoa; Chordata; Mammalia; Carnivora; Ursidae. The transcript has 4 exons.
GCUCACCCACGUAGCUGAGGACCACUGGCAAAGACCAGGCCGUGCAGCAGGCCCAGCACGGUGAUGAGGAGGUUGAGGCGGAAGAAGAAGAUCUGGAUGAGCUGCGCCUUGGCCAGGCCCAGAACAAGGAUACCGGGCAGGGCCAUGAAGCCCACGGUGUCCACGAGGAUCAUGACGAUGGAGAACAGAUUGAGGAGGCCCGAGCGCAGGUCCAUGCCCAGCAGCAGGCAGCAGACGAUGAAGGUGGGCAGCAGACAGAUGGCCAGCAUGAAGAGGCCCUCGGGGACCACGUUCAGUUUCCCCAAGCCGUGGGAGGCCGGGAGCCCCCAGAGACCCUGCACUCACUGACAGUCGAGGGGCAGAACUCGUCUUUAUGAGCUCCAAAGGCAUAAAGGCGGCAGCAGGAGGACGGGGUCAGCCAGUCAAUGAAGUCGUCCACCCAGGAGGAGGCGGAGAUGGCCAGCCGGACAUAUAAGAAACGGGACAUCCAAAAGCAAUCACAAAUAGAAGUCACCGCACAUUACCGGGGAAAGACUUGGACUUAGAAAAAACCUGAUAAAACUUUAAUUUUAUACCUCAGGCUAAUCUCCAGGACAGAGACACCAGCAACAAUCACAUUUUUUUUUAAAGCAAACCUCCAGGGAGGGGGAGAAUCUGAUCUUUAGAGUUACCAUACGAUAAGACUCAAAUGUCCAUUUCUCAAUGACAACUAUCACAGAGACACAAACAAUCAGGAAAGUAUGGCCCAUACCUAGGAACCAACACCAUUUAACAGACGAUCUCCUCAAGAAAGACCAAUUGGUGGACACAUCAGACAGACACAGAUGCUCAAAGAGCACCCAGACAAAACCAAGAGAAGCAAGUGUGAACAAAAUGGAACGAUCAACCACUAGAAAACAGAAAACAGAACCCAGAAAGGAAUUUUGAAACUGGAAAGUAUGAGGACUAACUACAUGAAAAAUUCUGGUCAUAGAUUGCAUGAUCUUAUGUACAUGAAAUUCUAACAUUCUACCCCAAUCCCUUAAAAACUAGUAAAUAAAUUCAGCAAGGUUGCAAGUUACAAGAUCAGCGCACAAAAGUCAGUCACAUUUCUAUGCAUGAGCACUGAAUGACCCAAACAGGGAACCGGGACAAGCCUAGUCACAACAGCAUAAAAAGAAUAAAGUACUUAGGAAAUAAUGUCACCCAAGGGGUGAGCGACUGCACACUGACAACCACACAGCAUUGCUGAAAGAAAUUAAAGAACACACAAAUAUGUGGGAAGACACCUGUGUUCGUGGGCUGGAAAACUGACUACUGUACAGGCUGCUGGAGAGUGUCCAAGUUCAGUGCAAUCCUGUCCAGGUCCCGGGGUGCCUGGGUGGCACAGCAGUUAAGCGUCUGCCUUCGGCUCAGGGCGUGAUCCCGGCGNGUUAUGGGAUCGAGCCCCACAUCAGGCUCCUCCGCUAUGAGCCUGCUUCUUCCUCUCCCACUCCCCCUGCUUGUGUUCCCUCUCUCGCUGGCUGUCUCUAUCUCUGUUGAAUAAAUAAAUAAAAUCUUUAAAAAAAAAAAAUCCUGUCCAGGUCCCAAUGACGUUUCUUGCAUAAAUAGAAAAAUCCAUCUUAGAAUUCACAAGGGACUCCGAAUACCCAAACAAUCUUUAAAAGAGGAAUAAAGUUGGGGGACUCGGGGUGCCUGGGUGGCUCAGUGAGUUGGGAGUCCUACUCUUGAUUUUGGCUCAGGUCCUGAUCUCAGGGUCAUGGGAUCUGGACUUCCAUUGGGCUCCACACUCAACAGGCACUCUGUUUGG